GACGAACGCUGGCGGCGUGGAUUAGGCAUGCAAGUCGAACGGUAUCAUCCUUUCGGGGGUGAGAGAGUGGCGAACUGGUGAGUAACACGUAGGUUAUCUACCCUCAAGACGGGGACAACCCAGGGAAACUUGGGCUAAUACCGGAUGUGAGCAACUUUUAGUUGUUUGAAAGGUGGCGUAAGCUGUCGCUUGGGGAUGAGCCUGCGUCCUAUUAGUUAGUUGGUGAGGUAACGGCUCACCUAGGCAAUGAUAGGUAGGCGGCCUUAACGGGUGGUCGCCCACACUGGGAUUGAGAUACGGCCCAGACUCCUACGGGAGGCAGCAGUCGAGAAUAGUCUACAAUGGUCGGAAGACUGAUAGUGCGACGCCGCGUGAACGAUGAAUCCCUUCGGGGUGUAAAGUUCUUUUAUAUGUGAGCAGUGCUUCUUAUAUUAACAGUAUGGGGAGAGAGAUAUUAGCAUAUGAAUAAGCAACGGCUAACUCCGUGCCAGCAGCCGCGGUAAAAGUUG
RNAcentral lists this ribosomal RNA (509 nucleotides) under uncultured bacterium. RNAcentral describes it as "bacterial SSU rRNA". It matches the Rfam family "Bacterial small subunit ribosomal RNA", at positions 28 to 534 of the family's 1533-position model. The record is from RNAcentral.